Molecule: ribosomal RNA, 118 nt
Filed under: Rothia dentocariosa
Lineage: Bacteria; Bacillati; Actinomycetota; Actinomycetes; Micrococcales; Micrococcaceae
Also listed under: 5 other names
Source: RNAcentral
UGCGGUGGUGAUAGCCGGGGGGAAACGCUCAGUCUCCUUUUCGAACCUGGUUGCUAAGCCCUGUGGUGUUGAUGGUACUGCAUCUUGGUGGGUGUGGGAGAGUAGAUGGCUGCCGCAA